UGAGGAAUAUUGGUCAAUGGGCGCGAGCCUGAACCAGCCAAGCCGCGUGAGGGAAGAAGGCGCUAAGCGUCGUAAACCUCUUUUGUCAGGGGACAAAAAUGUCGUACGCGUACGAUAUUGAGUGUACCUGAAGAAAAACGCAUCGGCUAACUCCGUGCCAGCAGCCGCGGUAAUACGGAGGAUGCGAGCGUUAUCCGGAUUUAUUGGGUUUAAAGGGUGCGUAGGCGGACAGUUAAGUCAGCGGUAAAAGCCCGGGGCUCAACCCCGGGCGAGCCGUUGAAACUGGCAGUCUUGAGUAGGACAGAAGUAUGCGGAAUGCGCCGUGUAGAGGUGAAAUUCAUAGAUAUGGCGCAGAACACCGAUUGCGAAGGCAGCAUACCGGGUCCUUACUGACGCUGAGGCACGAAAGCGUGGGUAUCGAACAGGAUUAGAUACC
RNAcentral lists this ribosomal RNA (436 nucleotides) under uncultured bacterium. RNAcentral describes it as "bacterial SSU rRNA". It matches the Rfam family "Bacterial small subunit ribosomal RNA", at positions 355 to 786 of the family's 1533-position model. The record is from RNAcentral.